CAGUCGAGCGAAUGGAUUAAGAGCUUGCUCUUAUGAAGUUAGCGGCGGACGGGUGAGUAACACGUGGGUAACCUGCCCAUAAGACUGGGAUAACUCCGGGAAACCGGGGCUAAUACCGGAUAACAUUUUUGAACCGCAUGGUUCGAAAUUGAAAGGCGGCUUCGGCUGUCACUUAUGGAUGGACCCGCGUCGCAUUAGCUAGUUGGUGAGGUAACGGCUCACCAAGGCAACGAUGCGUAGCCGACCUGAGAGGGUGAUCGGCCACACUGGGACUGAGACACGGCCCAGACUCCUACGGGAGGCAGCAGUAGGGAAUCUUCCGCAAUGGACGAAAGUCUGACGGAGCAACGCCGCGUGAGUGAUGAANGCUUUCGGGUCGUAAAACUCUGUUGUUAGGGAAGAAACAGUGCUAGUUGAAAUAGCUGGCACCUUGACGGUACCUAACCAGAAAGCCACGGCUAACUACGUGC
This 470-nucleotide ribosomal RNA is filed under the name Bacillus sp. CSu4_4. Its description in RNAcentral is "bacterial SSU rRNA". It matches the Rfam family "Bacterial small subunit ribosomal RNA", at positions 59 to 508 of the family's 1533-position model. Lineage: Bacteria; Bacillati; Bacillota; Bacilli; Caryophanales; Bacillaceae. The record is from RNAcentral.